AGAGUUAAACAGUACGUGAAAUUGUUGAAAGGGAAACGAUUGAAGCCAGUCGUACUGACGGAAAAUCAACCUUUCGGGUGCCUAUCGUGGGUGACGUUGAGCUUUAUGGUCUUCAUCGCUUAUGUUGUAGGUAUCUUUGGGGUGUACUUUUUCGUAUGGUAGGUCAACAUCGAUUUUGAUCGUCAUAGAAUGAUCGGAGGAAUGUAGCUUCGAUUUCGAUUGGAGUGUUAUAGCCUUUGGUAGAUGUGACGAUUGGGAUUGAGGAUUGCAAUGAAUACCCUUUGGGCUAUUCGUCUGAUCUUCUAAAAGUCGCUCGGGUGCUGAAAGCGUGCUUAUAGCUAUUCGAGUGCAGUUAACAGCUUAGAACGUGAUUAUAUUCAUUAAGGAUGUUGACGUAAUGGCUUUAAACGACC
RNAcentral lists this ribosomal RNA (413 nucleotides) under Nanoglomus plukenetiae. RNAcentral describes it as "partial large subunit ribosomal RNA". The record is from RNAcentral. Lineage: Eukaryota; Fungi; Glomeromycota; Glomeromycetes; Glomerales; Glomeraceae.